UAUAUACCCACAAAAUCUUUCUUUUUAUCGCUAGAUGUUUUACUGAUACCUUAAUUUUUUUAACUCUGGCCCUUCUUUUGUUUCCCGGAAAUUCUCUCUCAAAUUUCAUUUCCCUCCCAUAAUGUGUUCAUCCCUUAACCCUAACCACGCUGUCACUCAAUUUCAUCAUCGCUCCUGGCCUCGCUCCUGGUCGCCAUCUUCACCGAUCUGUCUUCUCCGCGGUGGACUCCGGCGACCGUCGCCAUCUCGUCGUUCAACCAAACCUCCAUCUUCAUGAGUUUGAGCCUUUGGGUAGCAGGUUCUCAUGGCUCCGCCCUAGCCAUAGUGGAUGUUGGACUCAUUCACUAGGAGAGGGGCGAGAAGCUCAAGGCCCUCCAUUUCCAUCCCAAGGCUGCUGAGCUUGGAAACCCUUUCGAACAAUGCAAUUUAGGGAUUUCGUAACUCCAAGGGUUUACACUGACUCUUCCACACAGUAGAACCUUCCAUUUUUUAUGCUCAAUUUUCUAUCGUGUUGUUGAUGUUCCUUUUACUGAUAUUGUCCAGGUUAUUUCUUCAAACAAGAAUGUCAGAAGAGAUGGAAAAAGCUAAUUAGAAACUAGGAUGCAAAUAGAAGAACGUGAAGCCUUUGAUUGUUCACGGAGGCAAAUUCUUACUUGAAUGUACAGUUUUAGCAAUUCUUGGGAAGAGAGAGUAAUGCUAGUGAUAUGGGAAAAAAGGGGAGUUAGUUUGCUGCAAUCAAGAAGGUUUUCACACACUGCCCAAGUGGAAGGAUUCAGAUAGUAAAAACUCAAAAGAGAAGAAGAAGUGAUAGGAAAACAAAGGCAUGGAGAGACCAAUUCUUUCAUCCCCAUCUUCAGGGAGCCAAGUAGCAUUGAGAAAAUAGUUGGGGACUUUGAAAGAGAGCAACAACAGAACCAAUAUGCCUCAGCUACUAAAAUCCAGGCUGUUUAUAGAGGUUAUAUGGAUGCCCAAAGUGCCAUAAAUGAUAUGACAGGAUAUUAAUAUUUGGGGGAAUGUUUAUCCAAUGCUUGUGGCUCUUCCUUACCUUCACCAAAGCAAUGGUUGUGUUAUUAUCAAUGCAUCAAUUGCAAGCCUUUACCAAGAUGAGUUUAUAUGGUGUAAGUAUAAUAGUUUAUGCAUUAAGUUUGUCAUUCUCUGUUUUCUUUAUGAUUCUCUGUUCUAUUGCCUUUGGUACAACUUGGCUUAGGAAUUUCCAAAGGCUAAUGGGAUUGGAUUCAGAUUGAAAUCGUCUACAAGUGAUAUUUUUUAGUUAGCUACCAACUUAUUUUUUCAAAUUGGGUUGUUAUUCAUGCUAUUGGGAAAAAAGCAAAUUACCCUAUAUUUUGAGUUACUUUAUGUAAGCUUUGUUAUGUUGUUUUCUAGAAUAAAGUAGUAUUAAGUUUUAUCUGA
This is a long non-coding RNA of Lotus japonicus, 1410 nucleotides long. RefSeq lists it as uncharacterized. The record is from RefSeq and is a predicted model, not a curated record. Lineage: Eukaryota; Viridiplantae; Streptophyta; Magnoliopsida; Fabales; Fabaceae. The transcript has 6 exons.